CACAAUUUGACAAGGCUCUUAGUACUCCUUAUCCAUCACAUGCUCAGAGCAUCAGGAGACAGAAUAAAGGAGCUGGUAAAUAAGAAUGAGACAAAACAAAGAAGAAAAGUACAGCAACCAAAACCUUUUACAAAACAAAACCAGUACACUAAAUAAUGACGGAUGGCCAAAGGUGAAAUAUCUGUAUAGAUCUAAGAAUAGAAAUAAUACAGUAAUUCUGAUAAAAUUGACAUUUAGGAAAGCAAAAUUAAUCUUAAAUUUGAAAUGGAACAGAGAAAAAGAAAGAAGAUUAAGAAUCAGAUGUUCUACUUUUCCAAGGAUCAUGUGACCAAAAACUAACAAAAUGGCUUCUUAGAAAUCCACAACAAAGACAUGAAGAUUAUUCACCUUGGACUAAAUGAAAUGACUGUUUAUUUAAUAUAUUAAUGUCCAUCAUUUAAUGUACUAUAAAAUUUUGAUUGUCUAAGACAACUAUAGAGAAAUAAUAUAAAAUCCAGGUCUAUUCUAUUGAAUGUGAAUUUUAAACAACAAAAUUCAAGAAAGUUUCUUAAGAUGAAAUUAAAAUUUUCUACCAUCCUA
Long non-coding RNA from Mastomys coucha (southern multimammate mouse), 579 nucleotides. RefSeq lists it as uncharacterized. Lineage: Eukaryota; Metazoa; Chordata; Mammalia; Rodentia; Muridae. The transcript has 2 exons. The record is from RefSeq and is a predicted model, not a curated record.